UACGUAGGGGGCAAGCGUUGUCCGGAUUUAUUGGGCGUAAAGCGCGUGUAGGCGGUUCGGUAAGUCCGCUGUGAAAGUCGGGGGCUCAACCCUCGAAUGCCGGUGGAUACUGUCGGACUAGAGUACGGAAGAGGCGAGUGGAAUUCCUGGUGUAGCGGUGAAAUGCGCAGAUAUCAGGAGGAACACCAAUUGCGAAGGCAGCUCGCUGGGACGUUACUGACGCUGAGACGCGAAAGCGUGGGGAGCAAACAGG
RNAcentral lists this ribosomal RNA (253 nucleotides) under uncultured bacterium. RNAcentral describes it as "partial 16S ribosomal RNA". It matches the Rfam family "Bacterial small subunit ribosomal RNA", at positions 524 to 776 of the family's 1533-position model. The record is from RNAcentral.